UGCAGUCGAGCGAAUGGAUUAAGAGCUUGCUCUUAUGAAGUUAGCGGCGGACGGGUGAGUAACACGUGGGUAACCUGCCCAUAAGACUGGGAUAACUCCGGGAAACCGGGGCUAAUACCGGAUAAUAUUUUGAACCGCAUGGUUCGAAAUUGAAAGGCGGCUUCGGCUGUCACUUAUGGAUGGACCCGCGUCGCAUUAGCUAGUUGGUGAGGUAACGGCUCACCAAGGCAACGAUGCGUAGCCGACCUGAGAGGGUGAUCGGCCACACUGGGACUGAGACACGGCCCAGACUCCUACGGGAGGCAGCAGUAGGGAAUCUUCCGCAAUGGACGAAAGUCUGACGGAGCAACGCCGCGUGAGUGAUGAAGGCUUUCGGGUCGUAAAACUCUGUUGUUAGGGAAGAACAAGUGCUAGUUGAAUAAGCUGGCACCUUGACGGUACCUAACCAGAAAGCCACGGCUAACUACGUGCCAGCAGCCGCGGUAAUACGUAGGUGGCAAGCGUUAUCCGGAAUUAUUGGGCGUAAAGCGCGCGCAGGUGGUUUCUUAAGUCUGAUGUGAAAGCCCACGGCUCAACCGUGGAGGGUCAUUGGAAACUGGGAGACUUGAGUGCAGAAGAGGAAAGUGGAAUUCCAUGUGUAGCGGUGAAAUGCGUAGAGAUAUGGAGGAACACCAGUGGCGAAGGCGACUUUCUGGUCUGUAACUGACACUGAGGCGCGAAAGCGUGGGGAG
This 731-nucleotide ribosomal RNA is filed under the name Bacillus sp. FJAT-4331. RNAcentral describes it as "bacterial SSU rRNA". It matches the Rfam family "Bacterial small subunit ribosomal RNA", at positions 56 to 768 of the family's 1533-position model. The record is from RNAcentral. Lineage: Bacteria; Bacillati; Bacillota; Bacilli; Caryophanales; Bacillaceae.